This 65-nucleotide transfer RNA is filed under the name Imatidium capense. RNAcentral describes it as "tRNA-Ser". Lineage: Eukaryota; Metazoa; Arthropoda; Insecta; Coleoptera; Chrysomelidae. The record is from RNAcentral.
GGAUAUUGAACUUGUAAAGUAUAUGUUUUGAAAACAUAAUAAAGAAAUAACUAUUCUAAUAUCUU